GACGAACGCUGGCGGCGUGCUUAACACAUGCAAGUCGAACGAAGAGCGAUGGAAGCUUGCUUCUUUCAAUCUUAGUGGCGAACGGGUGAGUAACGCGUAUUCAACCUGCCUUUCAGAGGGGGACAACAGUUGGAAACGACUGCUAAUACCGCAUUCGAUCUAAUCUCGGCAUCCAGGAUAGAUGAAAGGUGGCCUCUACACGUAAGCUAUCACUGGAGGAGGGGAUUGCGUCUGGUUAGCUAGGUGGAGGGGUAACGGCCCACCAAGGCGAUGAUCAGUAGCCGGUCUGGGAGGAGGAACGGCCACAUUGGGACUGAGACACGGCCCAGACCUCUACGGGAGGCAGCAAUGGGGAAUCUUCCGCAAUGGAGGGAAGUCUGACGGAGCAACGCCGGGUGAGGGAAGACGGCCUUCGGGUUGUAAAGCUCUGUUAAUCGGGACGAAAGGCCUUCUUGCGAACAGAUAGAAGGAUUGACGGUACCGGAAUAGAAAGCCACGGCUAACUACGUG
Molecule: ribosomal RNA, 510 nt
Filed under: uncultured bacterium
Lineage: Bacteria
Description: partial 16S ribosomal RNA
Rfam family: Bacterial small subunit ribosomal RNA
Source: RNAcentral